Molecule: transfer RNA, 70 nt
Filed under: Epinephelus polyphekadion
Lineage: Eukaryota; Metazoa; Chordata; Actinopteri; Perciformes; Serranidae
Also listed under: 4 other names
Description: tRNA-Phe
Rfam family: tRNA
About the family: Transfer RNA (tRNA) molecules are approximately 80 nucleotides in length. Their secondary structure includes four short double-helical elements and three loops (D, anti-codon, and T loops).
Source: RNAcentral
GUUGUCGUAGCUUAACACAAAGCAUAACACUGAAGAUGUUAAGAUGGGCCCUAGAAAUGCCUCGAGAACA